UAGGGAAUCUUCCACAAUGGGCGAAAGCCUGAUGGAGCAACGCCGCGUGUGUGAUGAAGGCUUUCGGGUCGUAAAGCACUGUUGUAUGGGAAGAACAGCUAGAAUAGGGAAUGAUUUUAGUUUGACGGUACCAUACCAGAAAGGGACGGCUAAAUACGUGCCAGCAGCCGCGGUAAUACGUAUGUCCCGAGCGUUAUCCGGAAUUAUUGGGCGUAAAGCGAGCGCAGACGGUUGAUUAAGUCUGAUGUGAAAGCCCGGAGCUCAACUCCGGAAUGGCAUUGGAAACUGGUUAACUUGAGUGCAGUAGAGGUAAGUGGAACUCCAUGUGUAGCGGUGGAAUGCGUAGAUAUAUGGAAGAACACCAGUGGCGAAGGCGGCUUACUGGACUGUAACUGACGUUGAGGCUCGAAAGUGUGGGGUAGCAAACAGGAUUAGAUACC
This 440-nucleotide ribosomal RNA is filed under the name uncultured bacterium. RNAcentral describes it as "bacterial SSU rRNA". It matches the Rfam family "Bacterial small subunit ribosomal RNA", at positions 355 to 786 of the family's 1533-position model. The record is from RNAcentral.